AAGCUCGUAGUUGAAUUUCGGGGUUAGUAGGUUGGUCAUGCCUCUGGUAUGUACUGGUCUCACUGAUUCCUCCUUCCUUAUGAACCGUAAUGCCAUUAAUUUGGUGUUGCGGGGGAAUUUGGACUGUUACUUUGAAAAAAUUAGAGUGUUUAAAGCAAGCUAACGCUUGAAUACAUUAGCAUGGAAUAAUGAAAUAGGACGUUCGAUCUUAUUUUGUUUGGUUUUCUAGGAUUGACGUAAUGAUUAAUAGGGAUAGUUGGGU
RNAcentral lists this ribosomal RNA (262 nucleotides) under uncultured Glomus. RNAcentral's name for it is "partial 18S ribosomal RNA". It matches the Rfam family "Eukaryotic small subunit ribosomal RNA", at positions 624 to 887 of the family's 1831-position model. The record is from RNAcentral. Lineage: Eukaryota; Fungi; Glomeromycota; Glomeromycetes; Glomerales; Glomeraceae.